RNAcentral lists this ribosomal RNA (437 nucleotides) under uncultured bacterium. Its description in RNAcentral is "bacterial SSU rRNA". It matches the Rfam family "Bacterial small subunit ribosomal RNA", at positions 43 to 524 of the family's 1533-position model. The record is from RNAcentral.
CAGGCCUAACACAUGCAAGUCGAGCGGGCACUUUCGGGUGUCAGCGGCGGACGGGUGAGUAACGCGUGGGAACGUGCCUUCUGGUUCGGAAUAACUCAGGGAAACUUGAGCUAAUACCGGAUACGCCCUUUUGGGGAAAGGUUUACUGCCGGAAGAUCGGCCCGCGUCUGAUUAGCUAGUUGGUGGGGUAACGGCCCACCAAGGCGACGAUCAGUAGCUGGUCUGAGAGGAUGAUCAGCCACACUGGGACUGAGACACGGCCCAGACUCCUACGGGAGGCAGCAGUGGGGAAUAUUGGACAAUGGGCGCAAGCCUGAUCCAGCCAUGCCGCGUGAGUGAUGAAGGCCUUAGGGUUGUAAAGCUCUUUUAUCCGGGACGAUAAUGACGGUACCGGAGGAAUAAGCCCCGGCUAACUUCGUGCCAGCAGCCGCGGUAAU